CAAAUAGUCUUGCAACAACAUCAAAAAAACAGGAAAAAUGUGCAUUUGUUAUUGUUUUCCCUUGCUAUCCAUGACCCAUCAAAACAGACAUGGGAUCCAUUUUUUGGGUUGCGAUCCAACAUUACAUGCGGUAAAGCAAUGACAUCACCCCUCUUCCUGUGCAAAUGACCAGCACUUCCUUUAAUGGGCCAGAUCUCUCACAUCAAAAUGCAUGAGGGUUGUUAUGAUCCGCUCGUCUCCUCAUGUGAUCCCGCAUGACAGUGAAGAUGGGAAAAUUCCCUCUCUCAUGUGGAUGUUGGGUGUAAUCUCUUCAUCUGGAUGUGUCACUGACAUACAGUAAGAAAAGCCCUGAACAUUGCAGACUUUCAAAAAGCUUUGUGCGGAUAAAUCCGGAGAUGAUGGGUUCUAGCCGGCGAUUGAAAGCAGGAGACACAAAAGCAGCCUCCAGAUGACACUUUACACUAAGGUAAGAGAGGGAACCCACUCAAAGCCUCGAUUGACCUCAGGGUCAAUCAGGUGAUAAUCACCCUCUUCGCAAGGCCAUAGAUCUGGUGAGAGCUGGAAUAGAGAGGAAAGAGAGGAGUCGAAUGUAACGAGGAAAGUCAGGUGUCCUUGUUUUGCAAGUAUAGUUCAUUUGUGGAAAUCUAUUCACAAUCUGAAUUCUGGUAAAACUGUGUUUUUAUAAAAGUAUAAACAGAACAUCAGCUUUAAACAGUUAAUAUCAUGUUUGCAAAAAUAUGCAUCCAUAUGGAUUUGCUUAAUGCUAAUGGUGUGUUCAAAGUCAUUUGUCGAAACAAUCUCUAUUCUCACUUAUAUUAUAGACUAGAUAUUCAGUAGUGCUGGCAUAAUAGUUAAAUGCAAUUAAUUGCAUCUAACAGAAAAGUUUGUUUAUAUAAUAUUUGUGUGUGUACAUAAUGUAUCGUGUGUGUGUGUAUAUAUAUGGGUUAAAGACGUGACAGGUCAUUUUUUUUGUCUA
This is a long non-coding RNA of Megalobrama amblycephala (Wuchang bream), 976 nucleotides long. RefSeq lists it as uncharacterized. The record is from RefSeq and is a predicted model, not a curated record. Lineage: Eukaryota; Metazoa; Chordata; Actinopteri; Cypriniformes; Xenocyprididae. The transcript is spliced from 3 exons.